RNAcentral lists this unclassified non-coding RNA (273 nucleotides) under fungal sp. Its description in RNAcentral is "partial internal transcribed spacer region". The record is from RNAcentral. Lineage: Eukaryota; Fungi.
AAGUCAUAAUAAGAUUUCCGUAAAUAAACUUGCAGAAGAAUCAUUACUAAAAAUUAAGAGAUCAAUCUCAACCCACUCGGUGUUCAGAGGUUCUGGACUCCAAACCAGUCAACCCUUUAUAAACCAAAAAACUUUUUCGCUUCGGCAGCUAAACUUAAUCGUUUAUUAAUCUACCGUUAACACCAACCUUUCAAACUUGUUAUCAAAUAUUGUCUGAUAACCAAAAUUUUCGAAUAAAAAUUAAAACUUUUAAUAAUAAAUCUCUUAGUUCCC